Long non-coding RNA from Coffea eugenioides, 294 nucleotides. RefSeq lists it as uncharacterized. The record is from RefSeq and is a predicted model, not a curated record. NCBI's taxonomy places the organism in Eukaryota, Viridiplantae, Streptophyta, Magnoliopsida, Gentianales, Rubiaceae. The transcript has 4 exons.
CCUUGGAGCUAGCAAUGGAAGCACUCAAAGAGAUCCAAUUAUGGUUCUAUAAAGAUUUCCCUCCUCAUCCUAAGGAACAAGUUUAUGGAUUUGCAACACCAUCAACAAUGAAACCAACUCAAUGGUCUUAUCCAGGUGGUGGAAUUAACCAAAUCCAGCUGAAUGUACAGUUUCAGGGGAUGUUAGGUUGACUCCAUUUUACAGUGUAUCAGAUGUGCUGAAGAAGUUACAGGAGUAUGUAGAAGACAUAAAUGAAAACAUUGAGAAGCUUGAUACUAGGGACCCUAUUUCAAA